GCUUUUGUGGUGCAGUUGAUAACGACGCUUUCCUACAACAACCAACCGCUUGCCAGUUCGACCCUGGCCAGGAGCA
This is a non-coding RNA of Spizellomyces punctatus DAOM BR117, 76 nucleotides long. NCBI's taxonomy places the organism in Eukaryota, Fungi, Chytridiomycota, Chytridiomycetes, Spizellomycetales, Spizellomycetaceae. The record is from the annotation of a RefSeq genome assembly.